AAGUCGAGCGAACGGACGAGAAGCUUGCUUCUCUGAUGUUAGCGGCGGACGGGUGAGUAACACGUGGAUAACCUACCUAUAAGACUGGGAUAACUUCGGGAAACCGGAGCUAAUACCGGAUAAUAUUUUGAACCGCAUGGUUCAAAAGUGAAAGACGGUCUUGCUGUCACUUAUAGAUGGAUCCGCGCUGCAUUAGCUAGUUGGUAAGGUAACGGCUUACCAAGGCAACGAUGCAUAGCCGACCUGAGAGGGUGAUCGGCCACACUGGAACUGAGACACGGUCCAGACUCCUACGGGAGGCAGCAGUAGGGAAUCUUCCGCAAUGGGCGAAAGCCUGACGGAGCAACGCCGCGUGAGUGAUGAAGGUCUUCGGAUCGUAAAACUCUGUUAUUAGGGAAGAACAUAUGUGUAAGUAACUGUGCACAUCUUGACGGUACCUAAUCAGAAAGCCACGGCUAACUACGUGCCAGCAGCCGCGGUAAUACGUAGGUGGCAAGCGUUAUCCGGAAUUAUUGGGCGUAAAGCGCGCGUAGGCGGUUUUUUAAGUCUGAUGUGAAAGCCCACGGCUCAACCGUGGAGGGUCAUUGGAAACUGGAAAACUUGAGUGCAGAAGAGGAAAGUGGAAUUCCAUGUGUAGCGGUGAAAUGCGCAGAGAUAUGGAGGAACACCAGUGGCGAAGGCGACUUUCUGGUCUGUAACUGACGCUGAUGUGCGAAAGCGUGGGGAUCAAACAGG
RNAcentral lists this ribosomal RNA (735 nucleotides) under uncultured Staphylococcus sp. RNAcentral describes it as "bacterial SSU rRNA". It matches the Rfam family "Bacterial small subunit ribosomal RNA", at positions 59 to 776 of the family's 1533-position model. Lineage: Bacteria; Bacillati; Bacillota; Bacilli; Caryophanales; Staphylococcaceae. The record is from RNAcentral.